This 681-nucleotide ribosomal RNA is filed under the name Streptomyces enissocaesilis. RNAcentral's name for it is "bacterial SSU rRNA". It matches the Rfam family "Bacterial small subunit ribosomal RNA", at positions 57 to 756 of the family's 1533-position model. Lineage: Bacteria; Bacillati; Actinomycetota; Actinomycetes; Kitasatosporales; Streptomycetaceae. The record is from RNAcentral.
GCAGUCGACGAUGAACCACUUCGGUGGGGAUUAGUGGCGAACGGGUGAGUAACACGUGGGCAAUCUGCCCUGCACUCUGGGACAAGCCCUGGAAACGGGGUCUAAUACCGGAUACUGAUCCUCGCAGGCAUCUGCGAGGUUCGAAAGCUCCGGCGGUGCAGGAUGAGCCCGCGGCCUAUCAGCUAGUUGGUGAGGUAACGGCUCACCAAGGCGACGACGGGUAGCCGGCCUGAGAGGGCGACCGGCCACACUGGGACUGAGACACGGCCCAGACUCCUACGGGAGGCAGCAGUGGGGAAUAUUGCACAAUGGGCGAAAGCCUGAUGCAGCGACGCCGCGUGAGGGAUGACGGCCUUCGGGUUGUAAACCUCUUUCAGCAGGGAAGAAGCGAAAGUGACGGUACCUGCAGAAGAAGCGCCGGCUAACUACGUGCCAGCAGCCGCGGUAAUACGUAGGGCGCAAGCGUUGUCCGGAAUUAUUGGGCGUAAAGAGCUCGUAGGCGGCUUGUCACGUCGGUUGUGAAAGCCCGGGGCUUAACCCCGGGUCUGCAGUCGAUACGGGCAGGCUAGAGUUCGGUAGGGGAGAUCGGAAUUCCUGGUGUAGCGGUGAAAUGCGCAGAUAUCAGGAGGAACACCGGUGGCGAAGGCGGAUCUCUGGGCCGAUACUGACGCUGAGGAGCGA